Molecule: unclassified non-coding RNA, 269 nt
Filed under: Hevea brasiliensis (rubber tree)
Lineage: Eukaryota; Viridiplantae; Streptophyta; Magnoliopsida; Malpighiales; Euphorbiaceae
Source: RNAcentral
GCUUAACAUUGAGACCAACAAAAACUAACAACAGGGAAAGGGAGAAGGUAGAUUUUUGAUAGAGAUUCGUUUUGCAACACGGUCUGCAGUGAAGGAGCCUGUUGCAUCUGCCGAAGAUGCCACUUCAAAUGGUUCUCCUCUUCCUCCCAAAGAAGAGGUUCCUCCUGCUGGUGACCAGCCUGCCACUGAACCCGAAUCAGCACAAACCUGCCUAAUUGCUGGCAUUACCUUCUUUUUACUAGCCCUUUUCAAUUUUAUAUUUUGUAUGA